Molecule: long non-coding RNA, 345 nt
Organism: Brassica oleracea var. oleracea
Lineage: Eukaryota; Viridiplantae; Streptophyta; Magnoliopsida; Brassicales; Brassicaceae
Exons: 3
Source: RefSeq, a predicted model, not a curated record
UGUUUACACGUGGCAUGCCCAAACUUAAGCUUACUAUCCUCUAUCGUCUUCUGGGUUUCUGGCCAACUCUUCCUCUACCCACCUCCUAGAAGCUUCUCCGACGGUUCUAUAUCGUAAUCAGAUUACGGAGAGGCUUCGGACUCUGAUCAGGUGCUACUCGAAUCCCAAUCCAGUAGAAGUUUUCUUCGACCUGCAGAGAGGAAUGACGCAGAAGAUGAGCCUCAUGCUAAAUGGGGAUUUUUCUUCGGCGGCUGUUAAGGUAUAACACUAACAUGGUUCCUCUUUGAAAGGUAAUAAAUCCUCAAUAAUAGAUCAUACGAAGUGUUUUUUUCUAAUUAUUAUUAG